AGUGAACGCUGGCGGUAGGCCUAACACAUGCAAGUCGAACGGCAGCACAGGAGAGCUUGCUCUCUGGGUGGCGAGUGGCGGACGGGUGAGGAAUACAUCGGAAUCUACUCUGUCGUGGGGGAUAACGUAGGGAAACUUACGCUAAUACCGCAUACGACCUACGGGUGAAAGCAGGGGACCUUCGGGCCUUGCGCGAUUGCAUGAGCCGAUGUCGGAUUAGCUAGUUGGCGGGGUAAAGGCCCACCAAGGCGCCGAUCCGUAGCCGGUCUGAGAGAAUGAUCAGCCACACUGGAACUGAGACACGGUCCAGACUCCUACGGGAGGCAGCAGUGGGGAAUAUUGGACAAUGGGCGCAAGCCUGAUCCAGCCAUACCGCGUGGGUGAAGAAGGCCUUCGGGUUGUAAAGCCCUUUUGUUGGGAAGGAAAUCCAGCUGGCUAAUACCCGGUUGGGAUGACGGUACCCAAAGAAUAAGCACCGGCUAACUUCGUGCCAGCCGCCGCAGUAA
RNAcentral lists this ribosomal RNA (506 nucleotides) under uncultured bacterium. RNAcentral's name for it is "partial 16S ribosomal RNA". It matches the Rfam family "Bacterial small subunit ribosomal RNA", at positions 29 to 523 of the family's 1533-position model. The record is from RNAcentral.